AUCGGUGAUGUAGAACGGUAAAAGGGGAAGAAAUGGGAGUGGCAACUGGCAACCCUAAUUGAGUUGUGAUUGGAAUUUGAGAGGCGAAGAAGCAGAGAAUGGGACUUGGUGGUAAAGUUGGCGAUUAUGCUUUCAAGGCAUUCACUGCAACCCUUGGAGCCACCACCCUAUACCUCACCGCUACGUUCUCCGUCAAUCUCUACAGAGGCUUUGUCUGGCACAAUUCUCAGACUAAAUUUGACGAGCAAGAUGCUAAGGAGCAAGCUUCAUAAUUUAUUAUGGCAGCCACAUUGAUCAUGUUGAAUUUCAAGUCCUUUGUACAAGUAUGUGAACUCUUUUCUUGAAAAAACACUAAAUCUUAGUUGGGCAAAUAAUUCCAUUACGAGUGAUAAUAACUUGGCUAUCAAAAGCAGAUAGUAUGAUCUAUACCUUUUAUUUAUUUACUAGGGUGGAUAAUAGUUGUAUGGUGGGAUAUUGAUCGCCAUUUUGCCAUAUAGUUUAUUUGAUUUGACAUGAUAAAAUUAUGCCUGUGUUUGUAAGCUAUUCUAUAGGGCUAAUUUCAGGAAUUCGUUGUGCUAA
This is a long non-coding RNA of Arachis stenosperma, 579 nucleotides long. RefSeq lists it as uncharacterized. The transcript has 2 exons. NCBI's taxonomy places the organism in Eukaryota, Viridiplantae, Streptophyta, Magnoliopsida, Fabales, Fabaceae. The record is from RefSeq and is a predicted model, not a curated record.